Molecule: ribosomal RNA, 341 nt
Filed under: Lacunicambarus aff. diogenes NE01 MGG-2018
Lineage: Eukaryota; Metazoa; Arthropoda; Malacostraca; Decapoda; Cambaridae
Description: partial large subunit ribosomal RNA
Source: RNAcentral
GUCUUAAUUAAAGAUAUUGAAUUUAACUUUUAAGUGAAAAGGCUUAGAUGAUCUGAAGGGACGAUAAGACCCUAUAAAACUUUAUAUUUAAGAGUAGAAAUUAAUUUUAUUUAAAGGUUACUAUUUUAUAAUAUUUGGUUGGGGCGACGGGGAUAGAAAAAAAAGUAACUGUCUUUUUUUUUUACAAUAAUAUUUGGUUUAAUGAUCCUAAAAUGGAUUAAAGAUUAAGUUACUUUAGGGAUAACAGCGUAAUUUUCUUUAAGAGUUCUUAUCGACAGGAAAGUUUGCGACCUCGAUGUUGAAUUAAAGGUUCUUUAUAGAGUAGAAACUAUAAUAGAAGG